GCCCGAAGUACCAGAGGAAGCAUACUUGGUUUCUGGCAGCAUCUAAAAGGAAAAGGAAACAUUCUGCAUUUCUGAGUCAGGAUUCAGAAAGGAGGAUGACUCAACAGAACCUCAUGCAGCUCUGUAGCAACACCCACAGGGAGCGGGCAUUCUGGGAAGGAAAGUGCAUGAUCUCAUUAUGGGGUUAUUAUUCCUCCUACCUCUUUAGCAUGGCGGAUGAUGUAAAAGAAUGUGAGGACGGGAAUGCAAUGGCAGAGUCCCACAGAUAAAUAUGUCAAAACACAUCAGAAUUUCUGAGCCUAUGGUGGAACCUGCAUUGCAAGCAAGCUGCUAGGUCACACGAUUACCAAGUGAUCGUGUAUAAACAAGAGGGUGUUUUAUGCUGAUAAAUGGACUCCCACUGUCGCAUACGGCCCCGGGAGUCUGCAUUAACAACAAGCUGAGACAAAGAAGAGAACAUGGCAUUCAUUUUAACAGUGGGCAUUUAUCAUUGGUGACAUUACCUGAUACGGCUGAUAAUCUAAAGCAUUACGACUUCUGAACAAAAUCUGAUUCAUAAAGACAUAUAAGGAGAUAAACCAUGACAACUAAUAGGAAUUUCCUGGACUGCUGCAAAUGGAAUAAUCUUAUCUAUAUUCAUCAGCUAGCCAGCUCUCUCCUCCCACUAAAAAGGAGACAAGGUACAUUCACAACUCCUAUUAGUGCUAAUAGCGGCUUUAGAAGCAAAUACCUUGUUCCUCCACAGGAAAGGACACCAGCCCGCCUUUGUUCCAAUAUCCUGCAAUCUUGUGUCAGUUGGAGUUAAUUGGUGGAAAUCUGGGAUACAAGCAAUUUGGAACUAAUCUCUAAAAAUGAUGGCCAGGGCAGCUGACAGUAGCAGUGACUGGCUCCAAAGCAGAUAGGGUUUUCUUUGUUGGCCUGAAGCUCUGCCAUCAACUUGUUUUCACUUCUUUCACCAGCCUCUCUGGACAAACUGCACAGGAAGGCUGUGGAUAAGGAACAAUCUCAGGGAUUCAUUCUUGCACGAUACAAUGGGCCUCUGAGACAGAAGAAGUAAAUUUGGCCAUUCAUCUAGUUUGUGGAGGUUGGCAAGUAGUUUUGAUAUCUCUGCAUCCUUACUUCGUCUUUAGUCAUAUCAAUCGUCCACCUAGGUGUGCUAGUACCUGCCUGUAACCCCAAUAUUCAAGACAUUGAGACAGGAGGAUUAUUGAGUUUGAAGCCAAUUAUACUCUAUAGGAAAAC
This 1242-nucleotide long non-coding RNA is filed under the name Cricetulus griseus (Chinese hamster). RNAcentral's name for it is "lncRNA (ENSCGRG00015041394.1)". The record is from RNAcentral. Lineage: Eukaryota; Metazoa; Chordata; Mammalia; Rodentia; Cricetidae.